UGGAGAGUCGGGCUUAUUUGGAAAAUAGGGAGUUGUCAGGCGGAAGAGAAGACUUGGCUUAAUAUUACAUUAGCCUAUCCAAAGCUCCCACUGCAAGUUUUCUGUGGCAUGUGUUUAAAACCUACAGCAGGCCUAUAACUAGCAUAUAUCUCAAACCGAGUUUAUAAGCCAAGGAAUUUGUUGACGGGGAUUUAUCAUCUUAAUAGCCAUCCCUCUGGAAAGCGCUGGUGUGCUGUCAUUGCGUAAACGCAUCCCCCACCUCCCUCGAAAGUGCUACUUCUGGAGGACUAGAGCGGACAUCACUGGACGUCUCACCUCCCUAACACAGUCUGUCUCCUACAUAUGUUUGACUCUCCACCUCUAUCCAGCCGACAGUGAGUCAUCCCCGGUAUAGCCAGUCGACCCGUCACUCCCGGUGGGUUCUUGUGCGGAGGAUGGAGACAAACCCCAUUCCCGUGGUAACGGUCCAGACGAGCCCGUUUGAUGACCAGCGGCCCGGUACUAACGGGCUGCGGCGGAAGACGGCUGUGUUCGAGGGCAAGAAGAACUACCUGCAGAACUACAUCCAAAGUGUACUGUCGUCCAUCGACCUGAGGGACCGCCAGGGAUGCACGAUGGUGGUAGGCAGCGACGGACGCUACUUCAGCCGAGCAGCCACCGAGAUUAUAGUUCAGAUGGCCGCUGCCAACGGGAUUGGUCGGCUGGUGAUUGGACACAACGGCCUCCUCUCCACCCCAGCUGUGUCCUGCAUCAUCAGGAAGAUCAAGGCUAUUGGUGGAAUCAUCCUGACAGCCAGUCAUAAUCCAGGAGGCCCCGGGGGAGACUUUGGGGUCAAAUUCAACGUGGCCAAUGGAGGCCCGUCUCCAGACACGGUGAUGGAGAAGAUUGCCCAGGUGAGUAGGACCCUGGAGGAGUAUGCCAUAUGUCCUGACCUCCGCAUUGACCUGGCCAGGCUGGGACGCCACGACUUUGACCUGGAGAACAAGUUCAAACCCUUCAGAGUUGAGAUAGUGGACUCGGUGGAGUUGUACCUCAACCUCCUGAGAACCAUCUUUGACUUCAACGCCAUCAAGAGUCUUCUGACAGGACCUGAACAGCUGAAGAUACGCAUAGACGCCAUGAACGGAGUGAUGGGUCUGUACGUGCGCCGUAUCAUGUGUGAUGAGCUGGGGGCUCCUGCCAAUGCGGCUGUCAACUGUGUCCCCAUGGAGGACUUUGGGGGCCGGCCUCCAGAGCCCAACCUCACAUACGCAGCCCCAUUGGUUGAUGCCAUGAAGGGCGGAGACAUUGGUUUCGGAGCUGCGUUCGAUGCAGACGGGGACCGGUAUAUGAUCCUGGGUGAGAACGGUUUCUUUGUGAACCCUUCAGACUCCUUGGCUGUUAUGGCUGCCAACCUCUCCUGUAUCCCCUACUUCAGACAACUGGGACUAAAGGGCUUCGCUAGGAGUAUGGCUACCAGCACUGCCCUAGACAGUGUGGCCAAGGCCCUGAAGGUGGCUCUGUAUGAGACUCCUACAGGCUGGAGGUUCUUUGGGAACCUGAUGGACUCCGGGAGGUGCUCGCUCUGCGGAGAGGAGAGCUUCGGGACAAGUUCAGACCACAUCCGUGAGAAGGACGGUCUGUGGUCGGUGCUGGUGUGGCUGUCCAUGAUGGCUGCCAGGAAACAGGGCGUGGAUGAGAUCGUCAACGACCACUGGGCCAAGCUCGGACGCAACUACUUCUGCAGGUUUGACUAUGAGGGCGUGGACCCCAGAGCAGCCUUCUAUCUGAUGAGGGACUUGGAGGGGGUGAUCACAGACAAAGCCUUCCCAAGCCAGAAGUUUGCUGUGGGGAACACCGUCUACAGCGUGGACCGGGCUGAUAACUUUGAGUACGUCGACCCUGUGGACGGAACCGUGGUCCGCAACCAGGGUCUGCGGAUCAUCUUCACUGAUGCAUCCCGUCUGGUCUUCCGUCUGAGUGGAAGUGGGGGAGGGGCCGGGGCCACAGUCCGGAUCUAUGCAGAGAGCUUAGAGAGAGACCCCGAGAGACAAAACAGAGAAACUCAGGCGGUGCUGGGUCCCCUCAUUGCCAUCGCCCUGAAGAUCUCUGACAUCCACGAGAGGACAGGACGCCGCAGCCCCACCGUCAUCACCUGAGCUCUGCUCCACCACACACACACACACACACACACACACACACACACACACACACACACACACACGCACACUCUUCCAAGUAUGUUUGUCUUUAGCCACGAGUAAAUCACACAUACAGAAAAAUGAUAUAUUGGAAUAUAUUCCAAUAAAAUAUAAAUAUAUUUAAAUAUAUGUGGGAAAUGUAUUUAUCAAAUACAUAAAUAAAUUAAAUAUAUGUACAUGUAUAUUUGUAAAAUACACCCUCACCUCACAACCUUCUCCGUCCUUAGCACUAGGUUCCCAGAGUGGUGUUUUGCAAUGCUAAGUUGGAUCAACUGGAGUUGUAGUUGAAAAUAAAUUCUACAGCAAUUGAGGUGUAGCCUACCUGCCACUUAUGAAACAUAGUAAAAAUAAAUGAGGUGUUAUUUCGGAAAAUUAAAACACUUGAAAGUAAUGUUUUUAAUACAUUAAAAUAUGUUUCCCUAGCUGUCAAUCACAAUUUGAAACGUUCCCGAUCCCCAUCCCCAGCCCCACCUCCAAUUGAAGGAGCAGACUUUACAAUUUUGAAUUUUCUUCUGAUGAAGGAGAAGAGCUGUUGUCACUGCCAAAAAGCUUUUGGUCAUUUUAUUAUCCAUUCAUAACAUUGAAUUAAAAUAUGUUUUUAACCUGAUGGGUGACAAAGGAAGAAGAUCAUUUAUUCAACUGCAAGCAAGAGUUUUCAACGAACUUGCUAACUAACACAGCUAGCUACCUACCUAGCUAGCUCCUUCUUUAGCUUGCCACGAACAUGCAGUGUGACUGGUAAGAAUUGUUUUGAAAAUUAAAGUUCAGUAGAGUUAAUGUCAUGUAUUAGAUAUCAUUUCAUUACCAAAACUAUUGUUAAAAUGUUCUUGGCUAGCCAAGCAACGUGUUGCUUGCUAGCUACCUAACUUAGCUAGGUUUAGUGAGGGGGAUAUUUCUGAUAGAACUGGCUAGCUGGAUUAUUUAUAGCAACAACAAAAAAUAUAUUUGUACCUCCUGCAGUGGAUCCUUCUGGUCUGGAGCACAGUUGCCUAUGGAUAGACCCCAUCCAAUACUCCAUUAUCCACAAGGAUAUCGACUUGUCAGUCAGCAAUGAACACUGGAGGGUAACUGGGACUCUGAAAACACAUUAAGAAGGAAAGAAAUCCACACAUUAACUUUGACAAGAAACACCAGUUAAUUUAAAUGCAUUCCAGGUGACUACCUCCUGAAGCCGGUUGAGACAAUGCCAAGAGUGUGCAAAGUUGUCAUCAAGGCAAAGGGUGGCUACUUUGAAGAGUCUCAAAUAUAAAAUAUAUUUUGGUUUGUUUAACACUUUUUUGGUUACUACAUGAUUCCAUAUGUGUUCAAAUGUAUUAAUUUUGUAAGUAUAAUAAUGAUGUCAACAUUUGCAUAAUGCCUUUUGGUUAUAAAGGGCUUCAUCACAAACUCAAAGACGGGGUGUUUGCAUUACAUCACUGUUUCUUAAUCCUCGCCCUGAGGACCAAAAGGCAUACACACACAUGAUUACACUCAAAGGUUUGAUGAGUUUAUUAUUGAAAUCAGGUUUGUAGUGCUAGGGACAAAAACAUAAAUGUGCACCCCUUGGAUCCCCAGGACCAGGAUUAAGAAACACUGCAUUAUAUUAAUGCAUUAAUAGGUGUUUACACAGACUAUAAAGUAACUAUGAGCUCUUGUGAAUACUUAUAAAACAUCAAUGUGCAUUUCAGCACAUUGCAUGCAUGAGUAGUCGCUAGGUUUUCCUGUGCCUCUUAUCUCACCUUUCCUUGAAGCGCUAACGAGCCCCAG
Molecule: RNA transcript, 3926 nt
Organism: Oncorhynchus gorbuscha (pink salmon)
Lineage: Eukaryota; Metazoa; Chordata; Actinopteri; Salmoniformes; Salmonidae
Gene: pgm5
Gene name: phosphoglucomutase 5
Exons: 14
Source: RefSeq, a predicted model, not a curated record